AACGUAGGAGGCAAGCGUUAUCCGGAAUUACUGGGCGUAAAGCGCGUGUAGGCGGACGACCAAGUCAUUUGUGAAAGCUCCUGGCUAAACUGGGAGAGGUCGAAUGAGACUGGUGGUCUGGAGUGCGGAAGAGGGGUGCGGAAUUCCGGGUGUAGUGGUGAAAUGCGUAGAUAUCCGGAGGAACACCAGUGGCGAAGGCGGCACCCUGGUUCGUGACUGACGCUAAGACGCGAAAGCAUGGGGAGCGAACGGG
This 253-nucleotide ribosomal RNA is filed under the name uncultured bacterium. RNAcentral's name for it is "partial 16S ribosomal RNA". It matches the Rfam family "Bacterial small subunit ribosomal RNA", at positions 524 to 776 of the family's 1533-position model. The record is from RNAcentral.